Molecule: ribosomal RNA, 208 nt
Filed under: uncultured bacterium
Lineage: Bacteria
Description: partial 16S ribosomal RNA
Rfam family: Bacterial small subunit ribosomal RNA
Source: RNAcentral
CACGUAGGCGGACUUUUAAGUCGGGGGUGAAAUCCCGGGGCUCAACCUCGGAACUGCCUUUGAUACUGGAAGUCUGGAGUCCGAGAGAGGUGAGUGGAACUCCGAGUGUAGAGGUGAAAUUCGUAGAUAUUCGGAAGAACACCAGUGGCGAAGGCGGCUCACUGGCUCGGUACUGACGCUGAGGUGCGAAAGCGUGGGGAGCAAAACA